This 581-nucleotide ribosomal RNA is filed under the name Protocruzia adhaerens. RNAcentral's name for it is "Protocruzia adherens partial Bacterial large subunit ribosomal RNA". It matches the Rfam family "Bacterial large subunit ribosomal RNA", at positions 1250 to 1945 of the family's 2925-position model. The record is from RNAcentral. Lineage: Eukaryota; Ciliophora; Spirotrichea.
AUGAAGCGGGCGCGUGAGCGAUCCCGUGGAGAGAUCACUAGUGAGAAUGAUGACAUGAGUAGCGACAAAGAGUGUGAGAGACACUCUCGCCGAAAGUCCAAGGGUUCCUGCUUAAAGCUAAUCUGAGCAGGGUAAGCCGGCCCCUAAGCCGAGGCCGAAAGGCGUAGGCGAUGGGAACCACGUUAAUAUUCGUGGGCCAGGAGGAUGUGACGGAUCAUGAAGGUUGUUCGCCCUUAUCGGAUUGGGCGGGCCGCUGAUUGGUCCCUGGAAAUAGCCCUCCAUGAGACCGUACCCUAAACCGACACAGGUGGACUGGUAGAGAAUACCAAGGCGCUUGAGAGAACGAUGUUGAAGGAACUCGGCAAAAUACCUCCGUAAGUUCGCGAGAAGGAGGCCCGGUUCUGAGGUAACUUGGAGCUGGGGGCACAAACCAGGGGGUGGCGACUGUUUAUUAAAAACACAGGGCUCUGCGAAGUCGCAAGACGACGUAUAGGGUCUGACGCCUGCCCGGUGCCUGAAGGUUAAAAGGAGGGGUGAGAGCUCUGAAUUGAAGCCCAGGUAAACGGCGGCCGUAACAAUAA